This 429-nucleotide ribosomal RNA is filed under the name Chloroflexota bacterium. RNAcentral describes it as "Chloroflexi bacterium partial 16S ribosomal RNA". It matches the Rfam family "Bacterial small subunit ribosomal RNA", at positions 355 to 776 of the family's 1533-position model. Lineage: Bacteria; Bacillati; Chloroflexota. The record is from RNAcentral.
UGGGGAAUAUUGCACAAUGGGCGAAAGCCUGAUGCAGCCAUGCCGCGUGUAUGAAGAAGGCCUUCGGGUUGUAAAGUACUUUCAGUCGGGAGGAAGGUGGUAAGGUUAAUAACCUUAUCAAUUGACGUUACCGACAGAAGAAGCACCGGCUAACUCCGUGCCAGCAGCCGCGGUAAUACGGAGGGUGCAAGCGUUAAUCGGAAUUACUGGGCGUAAAGCGCACGCAGGCGGUUGAUUGAGUCAGAUGUGAACUCCCCGGGCUUAACCCGGGAAUUGCAUCUGAUACUGGUCAGCUAGAGUCUUGUAGAGGGGGGUAGAAUUCCAGGUGUGGCGGUGAAAUGCGUAGAGAUGUGGAGGAAUACCGGUGGCGAAGGCGGCCCCCUGGACAAAGACUGACGCUCAGGUGCGAAAGCGUGGGGAGCAAACAGG